GUCAUAUGCUUGUCUCAAAGAUUAAGCCAUGCAUGUCUCAGUACAAGCCAAAUUAAGGUGAAACCGCGAAAGGCUCAUUAAAUCAGUUAUGGUUCCUUAGAUCGUACCCACAAUUACUUGGAUAACUGUGGUAAUUCUAGAGCUAAUACAUGCAAACAGAGCUCCGACCGGAGACGGAAGGAGUGCUUUUAUUAGAUCAAAACCAAUCGGUGGCGAGCUCGCUCGUUAUCGUACAACUUGGUGACUCUGAAUAACUUUACGCUGAUCGCACGGUCAUCGCACCGGCGACGCAUCUUUCAAAUGUCUGCCUUAUCAACUGUCGAUGGUAGGUUCUGCGCCUACCAUGGUUGUAACGGGUAACGGGGAAUCAGGGUUCGAUUCCGGAGAGGGAGCCUGAGAAACGGCUACCACAUCCAAGGAAGGCAGCAGGCGCGCAAAUUACCCACUCCCGGCACGGGGAGGUAGUGACGAAAAAUAACGAUACGGGACUCAUCCGAGGCCCCGUAAUCGGAAUGAGUACACUCUAAACCCUUUAACGAGGAUCAAUUGGAGGGCAAGUCUGGUGCCAGCAGCCGCGG
RNAcentral lists this ribosomal RNA (578 nucleotides) under Trigonopterus nothofagorum. RNAcentral describes it as "SSU rRNA". It matches the Rfam family "Eukaryotic small subunit ribosomal RNA", at positions 23 to 579 of the family's 1831-position model. Lineage: Eukaryota; Metazoa; Arthropoda; Insecta; Coleoptera; Curculionidae. The record is from RNAcentral.